RNAcentral lists this ribosomal RNA (254 nucleotides) under uncultured bacterium. RNAcentral describes it as "partial 16S ribosomal RNA". It matches the Rfam family "Bacterial small subunit ribosomal RNA", at positions 333 to 604 of the family's 1533-position model. The record is from RNAcentral.
AUUGGCCUACGGGGGGCAGCAGUGGGGAAUAUUGCACAAUGAGGGAAACCCUGAUGCAGCAACGCCGCGUGAGUGAAGAAGUAUUUCGGUAUGUAAAGCUCUAUCAGCAGGGAAGAAGAUGACGGUACCUGAGUAAGAAGCCCCGGCUAACUACGUGCCAGCAGCCGCGGUAAUACGUAGGGGGCAAGCGUUAUCCGGAUUUACUGGGUGUAAAGGGAGCGUAGACGGUGAGACAAGUCUGAAGUGAAAGCCCG